This 436-nucleotide ribosomal RNA is filed under the name uncultured bacterium. Its description in RNAcentral is "partial 16S ribosomal RNA". It matches the Rfam family "Bacterial small subunit ribosomal RNA", at positions 28 to 507 of the family's 1533-position model. The record is from RNAcentral.
AGCGAACGCUGGCGGCAGGCUUAACACAUGCAAGUCGAGCGGGCAUCCUUGUGGUGUCAGCGGCAGACGGGUGAGUAACGCGUGGGAACGUGGCCUGCGGUUCGGAAUAACUCAGGGAAACUUGAGCUAAUACCGGAUACGCCCUCUUGGGGAAAGGUUUACUGCCGAAGGCUCGGCGCGUGUCUGCUUAGCUGGUUGGUGGGGUUAUGGCUCACCAAGGCGAGGGUCAGUAGCUGGUCUGUGAGGCUGAUACGCCACGCCGGGACUGAGGCCCAGCCCCGACUCGUACGCAGCGCAGCAGAAGGUGAUACUGGAGACGGGAGCCAACCCUGAUCACGCCGUGCCGCGGAAGUCAUGACGCGCUUAGGGUUGUGAAGCUGCUUUUUACGAAGCGAUAAUGACGGUACCGGAGGAAUAAGCCCCGGCUAACUUCGUG